This 1085-nucleotide ribosomal RNA is filed under the name Vibrio crassostreae. RNAcentral describes it as "bacterial SSU rRNA". It matches the Rfam family "Bacterial small subunit ribosomal RNA", at positions 453 to 1533 of the family's 1533-position model. Lineage: Bacteria; Pseudomonadati; Pseudomonadota; Gammaproteobacteria; Vibrionales; Vibrionaceae. The record is from RNAcentral.
GUUAAUAGCGCUAUCUCUUGACGUUAGCAACAGAAGAAGCACCGGCUAACUCCGUGCCAGCAGCCGCGGUAAUACGGAGGGUGCGAGCGUUAAUCGGAAUUACUGGGCGUAAAGCGCAUGCAGGUGGUUCAUUAAGUCAGAUGUGAAAGCCCGGGGCUCAACCUCGGAACUGCAUUUGAAACUGGUGAACUAGAGUACUGUAGAGGGGGGUAGAAUUUCAGGUGUAGCGGUGAAAUGCGUAGAGAUCUGAAGGAAUACCAGUGGCGAAGGCGGCCCCCUGGACAGAUACUGACACUCAGAUGCGAAAGCGUGGGGAGCAAACAGGAUUAGAUACCCUGGUAGUCCACGCCGUAAACGAUGUCUACUUGGAGGUUGUGGCCUUGAGCCGUGGCUUUCGGAGCUAACGCGUUAAGUAGACCGCCUGGGGAGUACGGUCGCAAGAUUAAAACUCAAAUGAAUUGACGGGGGCCCGCACAAGCGGUGGAGCAUGUGGUUUAAUUCGAUGCAACGCGAAGAACCUUACCUACUCUUGACAUCCAGAGAAGCCAGCGGAGACGCAGGUGUGCCUUCGGGAGCUCUGAGACAGGUGCUGCAUGGCUGUCGUCAGCUCGUGUUGUGAAAUGUUGGGUUAAGUCCCGCAACGAGCGCAACCCUUAUCCUUGUUUGCCAGCGAGUAAUGUCGGGAACUCCAGGGAGACUGCCGGUGAUAAACCGGAGGAAGGUGGGGACGACGUCAAGUCAUCAUGGCCCUUACGAGUAGGGCUACACACGUGCUACAAUGGCGCAUACAGAGGGCAGCAAGCUAGCGAUAGUGAGCGAAUCCCAAAAAGUGCGUCGUAGUCCGGAUUGGAGUCUGCAACUCGACUCCAUGAAGUCGGAAUCGCUAGUAAUCGUAGAUCAGAAUGCUACGGUGAAUACGUUCCCGGGCCUUGUACACACCGCCCGUCACACCAUGGGAGUGGGCUGCAAAAGAAGUGGGUAGUUUAACCUUUCGGGGAGGACGCUCACCACUUUGUGGUUCAUGACUGGGGUGAAGUCGUAACAAGGUAGCCCUAGGGGAACCUGGGGCUGGAUCACCUCCUUAU